GAUGAACGCUGGCGGCGUGCUUAACACAUGCAAGUCGAACGGAAAGGCUCCUGCUUGCAGGGGUACUCGAGUGGCGAACGGGUGAGUAACACGUGGGUGAUCUGCCCUGCACUUCGGGAUAAGCCUGGGAAACUGGGUCUAAUACCGGAUAGGACGAUGGUUUGGAUGCCAUUGUGGAAAGUUUUUCGGUGUGGGAUGAGCUCGCGGCCUAUCAGCUUGUUGGUGGGGUAUUGGCCUACCAAGGCGUCGACGGGUAGCCGGCCUGAGAGGGUGUACGGCCACAUUGGGACUGAGAUACGGCCCAGACUCCUACGGGAGGCAGCAGUGGGGAAUAUUGCACAAUGGGCGCAAGCCUGAUGCAGCGACGCCGCGUGGGGGAUGACGGCCUUCGGGUUGUAAACUCCUUUCGCUAGGGACGAAGCGCAAGUGACGGUACCUGGAGAAGAAGCACCGGCUAACUACGUG
This 465-nucleotide ribosomal RNA is filed under the name uncultured bacterium. RNAcentral describes it as "partial 16S ribosomal RNA". It matches the Rfam family "Bacterial small subunit ribosomal RNA", at positions 28 to 507 of the family's 1533-position model. The record is from RNAcentral.